This 1029-nucleotide long non-coding RNA is filed under the name Coturnix japonica (Japanese quail). RNAcentral describes it as "lncRNA (ENSCJPG00005017544.1)". Lineage: Eukaryota; Metazoa; Chordata; Aves; Galliformes; Phasianidae. The record is from RNAcentral.
GCUUUGCUUUUUAUUUGAAGGAAAAGAGAUUCAGAUUCCUGUCCAGAAUAAAAGUGCAGCUAGAAGAGCACACAUAGAAUCACAGAAUCACAGAAUGACCCGGGUUGGAAGGGACCUCAAGGAUCAUGUAGUUCCAACCCCCCUGCCUAGCAGGGCCACCAAACAUACACCUUUACUAGAUCAGGUUGCCCAGGGACCCUUUCCAAAAUCUCCAUGUCUUUUUUGUACUGAGGGCUCCACACCUGGACACAGUACUCCAGAUGGGGCCUCACAGGGAUGGGGAGCAGAGUAGAGAGGGACAAUCGCCUCCCUGUCCCUGCUGACCACCCCUCUCCUGAUAGAGCCCAGGAUCCCAUUUGCUUUCUGGGCUGCCAGAGCGCACUGCUGGCUCAUGUUGAGUCUUUCAUCCAUCAGGACCCCCAGGUCUUUCUCUGCCGAGCUGCUCUCAAGGACCACUCCUCCCAGCCUGUACAGGUGCCUGGGGUUCUUCCAGCCCAAGUGCAAAACCUUGCACUUUGCUGUGUUGAACCUCAUCAGGUUCACCCGAGCCCAGCUUUCCAGCCUGUCAAGGUCCCUCUGAAUGGCAUCCGUUCCCUCCACCGUAUCGACUGCACCACUCAGCUUUGUGUCAUCAGCAAAAUUGCUGAGGGUGCACUCAAUUCCCUCAUCGAUGUCAUUAAUAAAGAUGUUAAAGAGCACUGGUCCCAAGACAGACCCUUGAGGGACACCGCUUGUUACCUUCCUCCACCUGGACAUAGAGCCAUUGACCACCACCCUCUGUCUGCGGCCUUUCAACCAAUUGCUUAUCCAGCUAGUUGUCCACCCAUCAAAUCCACUUCCCUCCAAUUUGGAGAUGAGGACGAGAUGAGGGACCAUGUCAAAGGCCUUGCUCAGGUCCAGGUAAAUGGCAUAGGUCACCUUCCCUUCGUUCACCAAUACCGUCACUCCAUCAUAGAAGGCCACAAGAUUAGUUAAGCAUGAAUGCACACAUGCUACUUGCCUUAAAAACAAGAAAAGAAUAUUUUGUUC